Molecule: ribosomal RNA, 573 nt
Filed under: uncultured bacterium
Lineage: Bacteria
Description: bacterial SSU rRNA
Rfam family: Bacterial small subunit ribosomal RNA
Source: RNAcentral
CUACGGGAGGCAGCAGUGAGGAAUAUUGGACAAUGGAGGCAACUCUGAUCCAGCCAUGCCGCGUGCAGGAAGACGGCCCUAUGGGUUGUAAACUGCUUUUAUACAGGAAGAAACGUAGGUACGUGUACCUAUUUGACGGUACUGUAUGAAUAAGGAUCGGCUAACUCCGUGCCAGCAGCCGCGGUAAUACGGAGGAUCCAAGCGUUAUCCGGAAUCAUUGGGUUUAAAGGGUCCGCAGGCGGUUUGUUAAGUCAGAGGUGAAAUCCUACCGCUCAACGGUAGAACGGCCUUUGAUACUGACAGGCUUGAGUUAUUGUGAAGUAGUUAGAAUGUGUAGUGUAGCGGUGAAAUGCAUAGAUAUUACACAGAAUACCGAUUGCGAAGGCAGAUUACUAACAAUAUACUGACGCUGAGGGACGAAAGCGUGGGUAGCGAACAGGAUUAGAUACCCUGGUAGUCCACGCCGUAAACGAUGGUCACUAGCUGCUUGACUAACAUUGGUUAGUUGAGUGGCUAAGCGAAAGUGAUAAGUGACCCACCUGGGGAGUACGCUCGCAAGAGUGAAACUCAAAG